Molecule: ribosomal RNA, 529 nt
Filed under: uncultured Methylobacter sp.
Lineage: Bacteria; Pseudomonadati; Pseudomonadota; Gammaproteobacteria; Methylococcales; Methylococcaceae
Description: bacterial SSU rRNA
Rfam family: Bacterial small subunit ribosomal RNA
Source: RNAcentral
AGGGGAUCUUCGGACCUUUCGCCAUGAGAUGAGCCUGCGUUAGAUUAGCUAGUUGGUAGGGUAAAGGCCUACCAAGGCGACGAUCUAUAGCUGGUCUGAGAGGACGAUCAGCCACACUGGGACUGAGACACGGCCCAGACUCCUACGGGAGGCAGCAGUGGGGAAUAUUGGACAAUGGGCGAAAGCCUGAUCCAGCAAUACCGCGUGUGUGAAGAAGGCCUUAGGGUUGUAAAGCACUUUCAAUUGGGAGGAAAACCUGCCGGCCAAUACCCGGUAGCUUGACAUUACCUUUAGAAGAAGCACCGGCUAACUCCGUGCCAGCAGCCGCGGUAAUACGGAGGGUGCGAGCGUUAAUCGGAAUUACUGGGCGUAAAGCGUGCGUAGGCGGUUCGUUAAGUCAGAUGUGAAAGCCCUGGGCUCAACCUGGGAACUGCAUUUGAAACUGGCGGACUAGAGUUUGGUAGAGGGGAGCGGAAUUUCAGGUGUAGCGGUGAAAUGCGUAGAUAUCUGAAGGAACACCAGUGGCGAA